RNAcentral lists this small RNA (247 nucleotides) under Histoplasma capsulatum var. duboisii H88. RNAcentral describes it as "Histoplasma capsulatum H88 hypothetical RNA". The record is from RNAcentral. Lineage: Eukaryota; Fungi; Ascomycota; Eurotiomycetes; Onygenales; Ajellomycetaceae.
ACAUACUAUACACUACUUGUACAGACGUACCGAGCAGGCAGUUGUUGCGGGUAGGAGUAAUAAUGACCGCACCUCUCUGUCGCUACCUUCAAAUUGAGAACUUGAAGUCCGUCCAUGUGGACGUUUGUCUUUGACGAAGACAAGCUAUAUUGGAUGCCUUUCAAUUCCAUGAGGAAUUUUUGUGAGAAGCUGGUAUACAUAUCAGUACAAGUCCACGUCCAGCGAUUUUAACCUCAGUCGUCGCGCG